This 406-nucleotide ribosomal RNA is filed under the name uncultured bacterium. RNAcentral describes it as "partial 16S ribosomal RNA". It matches the Rfam family "Bacterial small subunit ribosomal RNA", at positions 30 to 526 of the family's 1533-position model. The record is from RNAcentral.
AUUGAACGCUGGCGGAAGGCCUAACACAUGCAAGUCGAACGAGUGGCGGACGGGUGAGUAAUGUCUGGGAAACUGCCUGAUGGAGGGGGAUAACUACUGGAAACGGUAGCUAAUACCGCAUACAAUCAGAUGUGCCCAGAUGGGAUUAGCUUGUUGGUGGGGUAACGGCUCACCAAGGCGACGAUCCCUAGCUGGUCUGUGAGGAUGACCAGACACACUGGAACUGGGACCCGGUCCAGACUCCUACGGGCGGUAGCAGUGUUGAAUAUUGCACAAUGGGCGAAAGCCUGAUGCAGCCAUCUCGCGUGUAUGAAGAAGGCCUUCGGGUUGUAAAGUACUUUCAGCGGGGAGGCGUUACCCGCAGAAGAAGCCCCGGCUAACGCCGGGCCAGCAGCCGCGUUAAUAC